RNAcentral lists this ribosomal RNA (163 nucleotides) under Crepis lampsanoides. RNAcentral describes it as "5.8S ribosomal RNA". It matches the Rfam family "5.8S ribosomal RNA". Rfam says of the family: 5.8S ribosomal RNA (5.8S rRNA) is a component of the large subunit of the eukaryotic ribosome. It is transcribed by RNA polymerase I as part of the 45S precursor that also contains 18S and 28S rRNA. Lineage: Eukaryota; Viridiplantae; Streptophyta; Magnoliopsida; Asterales; Asteraceae. The record is from RNAcentral.
AACGACUCUCGGCAACGGAUAUCUCGGCUCACGCAUCGAUGAAGAACGUAGCAAAAUGCGAUACUUGGUGUGAAUUGCAGAAUCCCGUGAACCAUCGAGUUUUUGAACGCAAGUUGCGCCCAAAGCCAUCCGGUUGAGGGCACGCCUGCCUGGGCGUCACGCA